RNAcentral lists this small RNA (84 nucleotides) under Epilithonimonas lactis. RNAcentral's name for it is "Chryseobacterium halperniae Flavo-1 RNA". The record is from RNAcentral. Lineage: Bacteria; Pseudomonadati; Bacteroidota; Flavobacteriia; Flavobacteriales; Weeksellaceae.
UUGCAGCCCGGCUUGAGCGGAAAUCCUUUUUUUGCACUGGCACUGGCGAGGGAAAAAAGAUUGGGAGCGGAAGACGGAUUAAGC